RNAcentral lists this ribosomal RNA (492 nucleotides) under uncultured bacterium. Its description in RNAcentral is "partial 16S ribosomal RNA". It matches the Rfam family "Bacterial small subunit ribosomal RNA", at positions 29 to 507 of the family's 1533-position model. The record is from RNAcentral.
AGUGAACGCUGGCGGUAGGCCUAACACAUGCAAGUCGAACGGCAGCACAGUAAGAGCUUGCUCUUACGGGUGGCGAGUGGCGGACAGGUGAGGAAUACAUCGGAAUCUACUUUUUCGUGGGGGAUAACGUAGGGAAACUUACGCUAAUACCGCAUACGACCUACGGGUGAAAGCAGGGGAUCUUCGGACCUUGCGCGAUUGAAUGAGCCGAUGUCGGAUUAGCUAGUUGGCGGGGUAAAGGCCCACCAAGGCGACGAUCCGUAGCUGGUCUGAGAGGAUGAUCAGCCACACUGGAACUGAGACACGGUCCAGACUCCUACGGGAGGCAGUAGUGGGGAAUAUUGGACAAUGGGCGCAAGCCUGAUCCAGCCAUACCGCGUGGGUGAAGAAGGCCUUCGGGUUGUAAAGCCCUUUUGUUGGGAAAGAAAAGCAGCAGGUUAAUACCCCGCUGUUCUGACGGUACCCAAAGAAUAAGCACCGGCUAACUUCGUG